AAGUCGUAACAAGGUUUCCGUAGGUGAACCUGCGGAAGGAUCAUUACCAGUGAAGUGCCUGCGCCCUCGUGGCCAGGUGCCCACCCACCCGUGUUUACAUACUCUUGUUGCUUUGGCAGGCCGUGGCCUCCACUGCGGGUUCUGCUCGUACGUGCCUGCCAGAGGACCAAACUCUGAAUGUUAGUGAUGUCUGAGUACUAUACAAUAGUUAAAA
RNAcentral lists this unclassified non-coding RNA (214 nucleotides) under plant metagenome. Its description in RNAcentral is "partial contains small subunit ribosomal RNA and internal transcribed spacer 1". The stretch from base 1 to 46 matches the Rfam family "Eukaryotic small subunit ribosomal RNA", at positions 1786 to 1831 of the family's 1831-position model. The record is from RNAcentral.